AUGGGCAUCUCUUGAGACAACUGGCACAAGUGCCGCAAGACUGGGGGCAAGAGAAAGCCCUACCAUAAGAAGCGGAAGUAUGAGUUGGGACGCCCCGCAGCUAACACUAAGACUGGCCUCUGCCAAAUACAUAUAGUCCAUGUUCGGGGAGGUAACAAGAAAUACCGUGCCCUGAGGUUGAAUGUGGGAAACUUCUCUUGGGGCUCAAUGUGUUGUACUAGGAAAACAAGGAUCAAGACCUUGGUGAAGAACUGCACUGUGCUUAUUGACUCAGAGUCCCACUAUGCACUGCACCUAGGCCGCAAGAAAGGAACCCAGCUGACUCCAGAAGUAGAAGAGAUUUUAAACAAAAAAACCUUCAAAAAAAAUUCAGAAGAAAUAUGAUGAAAGGAAAAAGAAUGCCAAAAUAAGCAGUCUUCUGCAGGAGCAGUUCCAGCAGGGCAAGCUUCUUGCGUGCAUUGCAUCAAGACCAGGCCAGUGUGGCCGAGCAGAUAGCUAUGUGUUAGAAGGCAAAGAGCUGGAGUUCUAUCUGAGGAAAAUCAAGGCCCAGAAAGGCAAAUAAUUCUUCCUCUCUCCUAUCUUUUUUUUGGUUGCCAUUGUCAUUUUUUAGCUGGCCCUGGGUUUGAACCUGCCAGCCUUCAUGCACAGGGCUGGCACCAUACCCACUGUGCUACAGGCAAAAAGCCUUCCUCUUUCCUGUCUUAGUUCAUGUCAUAAACGUUCAUUAUUCCAAAAAAAAAGGGCGGUGCCAGUGGCUCAAAGGAGUAGGGUGCUGGCCCCAUAUGCUGGAGGUGGCAGGUUCAAACCCAGCCCUGGCCAAAAACCGCAAAAGGAAAAAAAAAAAAGAAAAGGCUCAGCACCCGUAGCUCAGUGGUUAGAGCGCUGGCCACAUAUACCAGGGCUGGUGGGUUCAAAGUCAGCCCAGGCCUGCUAAACAACAAUGACAACUAGAAAAAAAAAUAGCCGGCGUUAUGGUGGGCAACUCUAGUCCCAGCUACUUGGGAGGCUGAGGCAAGAAAAUUGCUUAAGCCCAAGAGUUUGAGGUUUCUGUGAGCUGUGACGCCAUGGCACUCUACUGAGGGCAACACGGUAAGACUCUGUCUCAAAAAAAAAAAUAAAAUAAAAUAAUCCAGAAUUCAGGUGGGGCACAGUGGCUCACACCUGUAAUCUUAGUACUUUUUGAGGCUGAGGUGGAAGAAUCACCUGAGACCAGGAGUUUGAGACCAGCCCAAUCAACAUAGUAAGAUCUCAUCUCUACAAAAAAUAGAUAAAGUAAUCAGGCAUGGCGAUGCACUCCUAUAGUCCCAGCUACUCAGGAGGCUAAGGCCAGGAGUCUGAGGUUGCAGCAAACUAUGAUGAAGCCAUGGCAUUCUAGCCAAGGUGACAAAGCAAGACCCUGUGUCGGGGGUGGAGAAUAAUCCAGGGAUUCAGGGAGAGUUAAUACCAUGGUCUGUGUCCAAGUCUCUGGAGGGGUAGAACCGGUGAUUUCCAAACCAAACACUCUCUGCCUGAGUGCCUUCAAGAGGACAUCAAGGAGCAGCUUCGGUGUCACUUAUGAAGCUUAUGUGAUCUGUAUAA
RNA transcript from Nycticebus coucang (slow loris), 1578 nucleotides. It is a transcript of the gene named 40S ribosomal protein S8-like, with no coding region annotated. The transcript has a single exon. The record is from RefSeq and is a predicted model, not a curated record. Lineage: Eukaryota; Metazoa; Chordata; Mammalia; Primates; Lorisidae.